UGCGGAAGGAUCAUUACCACACCAAAAAACACCCCACGUGAACGUACUCUGUAUUAGGCUUUCAUGCUCCUCGGAGCGGCUCGCCGAAGGCUUCGUAAGAAGCCGAUGUAUCUUUAAUCCCUUUUAUGAAAUGACUGAUCAAAAACUGCAGGCAGAAAUGUGUGCAUUCAAUUGAAAUACAACUAUAUCCAGUGGAUGUCUAGGCUCGCACAUCGAUGAAGAACGCUGCGAACUGCGAUACGUAAUGCGAAUUGCAGAAUUCAGUGAGUCAUCAAAAUUUUGAACGCAUAUUGCACUUCCGGGUUAGUCCUGGGAGUAUGUUUGUAUCAGUGUCCGUUAAUACAAAAUUGCUUCAUUCAUUUGGAGCAGACUGUGAAGGUCUUGCUUCGGCAAGUCCUUUCAAAUGAGUAUUACCUGUACGUCCUCGUGGGAUAUGCAACACAAAGGUAUAUAUGAUUUUGAUCUCGAAUGUCUUGUGUGAUGGUACACAGCUUCGAAGGAAAAACAAAUUGCGGUAGUUUUGCUUGUGUUUCGGCACAGGUGAACAUCAUAUUGCUUUUUGGGUUUCUGGAGGAGUUGGUACUGGAAGGCAGGAUGCGUUGUCAAAUAGUAUGUACUGGUGUAUCCCUUGAUGUAUGGAGGCAAAUUGGGAACUAUAUCCAAUUUGGACCUGAUAUCAAACAAGACUACCCGCUGAACUUAAGCAUAUCAAUA
This 714-nucleotide ribosomal RNA is filed under the name Saprolegnia sp. 746F4. Its description in RNAcentral is "eukaryotic LSU rRNA". The stretch from base 181 to 335 matches the Rfam family "5.8S ribosomal RNA". Lineage: Eukaryota; Oomycota; Saprolegniomycetes; Saprolegniales; Saprolegniaceae. The record is from RNAcentral.